RNAcentral lists this ribosomal RNA (253 nucleotides) under uncultured bacterium. RNAcentral describes it as "partial 16S ribosomal RNA". It matches the Rfam family "Bacterial small subunit ribosomal RNA", at positions 524 to 776 of the family's 1533-position model. The record is from RNAcentral.
UACAGAGGUCUCAAGCGUUGUUCGGAUUCAUUGGGCGUAAAGGGCGCGUAGGCGGCGGGGUAAGUCGGGUGUGAAAUCUCAGAGCUCAACUCUGAAAUGGCACUUGAUACUGCUCUGCUAGAGGACUGGAGAGGAGAUUGGAAUUCACGGUGUAGCAGUGAAAUGCGUAGAUAUCGUGAGGAAGACCAGUGGCGAAGGCGGGUCUCUGGACAGUUCCUGACGCUGAGGCACGAAGGUCAGGGGAGCAAACGGG